This 225-nucleotide signal recognition particle RNA is filed under the name human gut metagenome. RNAcentral's name for it is "Bacterial large signal recognition particle RNA". It matches the Rfam family "Bacterial large signal recognition particle RNA", at positions 6 to 225 of the family's 256-position model. Rfam says of the family: The signal recognition particle (SRP) is a universally conserved ribonucleoprotein involved in the co-translational targeting of proteins to membranes. Archaeal SRP consists of a 7S RNA and homologues of the eukaryotic SRP19 and SRP54 proteins. In most bacteria, the SRP consists of a 4.5S RNA and the Ffh protein (a homologue of the eukaryotic SRP54 protein). The record is from RNAcentral.
ACCAGCCGGGAAGGCAGCGGUGUCCUGUACCUGAAGUCCGCUACAGCAGGGGUUGAUUCCUCUUCUGAGGGGGCGGUGCGUGUGGCCUGCGGCCUGCGCCUUUUUGUUGACGAUCGGGUCUUACGCAAUCGCGCGUUGCGAACCAUGUCAGGUGGGGAACCAAGCAGCAUUAAGCAAAUUGCGCGGUGUGUUGUAAGGGUGCCUGCUCCGAGAAAGGGCGGCGGU